Molecule: long non-coding RNA, 1080 nt
Organism: Sinocyclocheilus rhinocerous
Lineage: Eukaryota; Metazoa; Chordata; Actinopteri; Cypriniformes; Cyprinidae
Exons: 2
Source: RefSeq, a predicted model, not a curated record
GGAAAGAUCAGGAAAAUCUCUGUCCAUUUGUAAUAGUGUUUUGCAUUAGAUUAAUAACAAACAUCAACACUGACAGCUUGUGUUUUUGUUUGAUGUUAGGAAUAUCUCAUAAUUCAUUCCCACAUGAGAGACUGUUUAUUUUGAUGUGAAUGAUGUAAAUGGAGUUGUUUGACGAGGUUUUCUGUGUGUUUCAGUGGACUGAAGGCCCUCCUCCUGUGCAGAUUCAAGCUCAGAAUGGACCCACCACCAGCCUGGCCAGCCUGCUUUAAACACACACACACACACUCACUCACUCACUCACACACUCACACACACACACACACACACACACUCUCUCUCUCUCUCUCACACACACACACGUCUUCGGUUGUGUUUGAUUGGCUGUGUUCAGAGCGAGGACAGACAGGGGUCAGAGGUCAAAGGAAAUGUGAUUUAGCAUUAUUUUGUGGUGAAGAUGGAAGUGUUUUCAUGUGAUUGGCCCUCGUAUCAGAGGUGUCACAGACGACAGGAAGAGGAAGUCAUGUGACCAGCAGUUUCUGUUGAGAGGAGCAGGACUUCAGCGUUUGGACCGACAGCAGCUUUAACACUGAGUCUGGCGAGCGGAUCGGAUCUCAGAGCUGUCUGUGAAGCUGUGAUGUGUGACGGCAGUCUCGGCUUCUCUAGGCGCUGAUAUUUUUACACGCGUCUCAUUUUGUGCUCAAACGCGCUUGUUUUGUUCUGCACGUCUCAUGUACAAACGCUGUGAGGACUGUCUGUUCUUUUAAAGGUAUUUACCUCUUUUCCUCUGUAGUUUUAACAGAUACAUUUAUUAAAUUUUGUAAAGUUUGAAUGUUUAUAUACCACAUUUAACAAUAUUAUAAUCUUUGUCAUUUUGAUUUGGAAUAGCCUUCAUUUGUAUAAAUGUUAUGAAAACUUGUGUCUGUAGUUUAUCAGACGCUUUGAUCAUUAGGUAGUAAAGCUCAUUCUGCUCUCAGAUCAGCCGCCGUUCUUUCUAAUAACUCCGUUUUUAAACUCUCGUAUUAUUUCUUUGUGUCUGCUUCAAAAUAAUCAGGAUUUUUAAAAUAAAAUUGGAGAAGUGUA